UAGGGAAUCUUCCACAAUGGACGCAAGUCUGAUGGAGCAACGCCGCGUGAGUGAAGAAGGUUUUCGGAUCGUAAAGCUCUGUUGUUGGUGAAGAAGGAUAGAGGUAGUAACUGGCCUUUAUUUGACGGUAAUCAACCAGAAAGUCACGGCUAACUACGUGCCAGCAGCCGCGGUAAUACGUAGGUGGCAAGCGUUGUCCGGAUUUAUUGGGCGUAAAGCGAGCGCAGGCGGAAGAAUAAGUCUGAUGUGAAAGCCCUCGGCUUAACCGAGGAACUGCAUCGGAAACUGUUUUUCUUGAGCGCAGAAGAGGAGAGUGGAAUUCCAUGUGUAGCGGUGGAAUGCGUAGAUAUAUGGAAGAACACCAGUGGCGAAGGCGACUCUCUGGUCUGCAACUGACGCUGAGGCUCGAAAGCAUGGGUAGCGAACAGG
Molecule: ribosomal RNA, 429 nt
Filed under: bacterium
Lineage: Bacteria
Description: partial 16S ribosomal RNA
Rfam family: Bacterial small subunit ribosomal RNA
Source: RNAcentral